GGGGGUGUCAAGGAUUUCGACCGGGAUAAGGUAUCGGUAGUGUAAGCAAGUAGUGGUUAGACGAAGGGCCACUAUAAAAAUCGUCUAAAAUCAUAAUUGCUAAAAAUAGCGACUAUACUCUUAAUAACGCUGCAAUAGCAGCGUAAUUUAAGCACGGUGCCUGCGACGCCUGAUAAACAGGAAACCGUGUCAUCUUAUCAGGCUCAACCAAAUCAUUUCCCAUUAAUGAUGCGGCGAACUUUUAAAUGGGUAGCGGAGUGUGAGCUCGUCAGUUAGCAAGACCACCCCCGCGAGACAAUAAAAUCUGACUAAACUUGUAGAAAGCUAUUGGUCCAGUCUUUGGGACGCGGGUUCGAUUCCCGCCACCUCCACCA
Molecule: transfer-messenger RNA, 374 nt
Filed under: bacterium
Lineage: Bacteria
Also listed under: 1 other name
Description: JABHWU01 sp018657625 Standard tmRNA
Rfam family: transfer-messenger RNA
About the family: Bacterial tmRNA, also known as 10Sa RNA or SsrA, is named for its dual tRNA and mRNA-like properties. Its role is to liberate the mRNA from a stalled ribosome.
Source: RNAcentral